RNAcentral lists this ribosomal RNA (305 nucleotides) under uncultured bacterium. RNAcentral describes it as "bacterial SSU rRNA". It matches the Rfam family "Bacterial small subunit ribosomal RNA", at positions 335 to 656 of the family's 1533-position model. The record is from RNAcentral.
CCGCCUACGGGAGGCAGCAGUGGGGAAUAUUGCACAAUGGGGGGAACCCUGAUGCAGCGACGCCGCGUGGGUGAAGAAGUCAUUCGUGACGUAAAGCCCUAUCAGCAGGGAAGAAAAUGACGGUACCUGACUAAGAAGCCCCGGCUAACUACGUGCCAGCAGCCGCGGUAAUACGUAGGGGGCAAGCGUUAUCCGGAUUUACUGGGUGUAAAAGGGGCGCAGACGGCCAUGGCAAGCCCGGUGUGAAAGGCAGGGGCAUAACCCCUGGACUGCACUGGGAACUGUCAGGCUGGAGUGCCGGAGGG